This 468-nucleotide ribosomal RNA is filed under the name uncultured bacterium. RNAcentral describes it as "partial 16S ribosomal RNA". It matches the Rfam family "Bacterial small subunit ribosomal RNA", at positions 28 to 507 of the family's 1533-position model. The record is from RNAcentral.
GACGAACGCUGGCGGCGUGCUUAACACAUGCAAGUCGAACGGAAAGGCCCUGCUUUUGUGGGGUGCUCGAGUGGCGAACGGGUGAGUAACACGUGAGUAACCUGCCCUUGACUUUGGGAUAACUUCAGGAAACUGGGGCUAAUACCGGAUAGGAGCUCCUGCUGCAUGGUGGGGGUUGGAAAGUUUCGGCGGUUGGGGAUGGACUCGCGGCUUAUCAGCUUGUUGGUGGGGUAGUGGCUUACCAAGGCUUUGACGGGUAGCCGGCCUGAGAGGGUGGCCGGCCACAUUGGGACUGAGAUGAGGCCCAGACUCCUACGGGAGGCAGAAGUGGGGAAUAUUGCACAAUGGGCGGAAGCCUGAUGCAGCAACGCCGCGUGCGGGAUGACGGCCUUCGGGUUGUAAACCGCUUUCGCCUGUGACGAAGCGUGAGUGACGGUAAUGGGUAAAGAAGCACCGGCUAACUACGUG